GACAGACUCAAAAAUUCCAGAUGCCCAGGCCGGUUAUGAAAAAGGAAUAAGCGCCGUGCUGGCAGGAUUAUCUGGUGGUAACAGAAU
RNAcentral lists this non-coding RNA (87 nucleotides) under marine eukaryotic metagenome. RNAcentral describes it as "Pyrrolysine insertion sequence mttB". It matches the Rfam family "Pyrrolysine insertion sequence mttB", at positions 3 to 89 of the family's 100-position model. The record is from RNAcentral.